Molecule: ribosomal RNA, 232 nt
Filed under: uncultured bacterium
Lineage: Bacteria
Description: partial 16S ribosomal RNA
Rfam family: Bacterial small subunit ribosomal RNA
Source: RNAcentral
GACGAACGCUGGCGGUGUGCUUAACACAUGCAAGUCGAGCGACUGCAUUCUUUUCGGAGGGUGUAUGGAGCGGCGAACGGGUGAGUAACACGUGAGUAAUCUGCCUUUGGCUUGGGAAUAACUUCGGGAAAUCGGGGCUAAUGCCUGAUGUUUACUGUCUGCUGCAUGGUGGGUGGUGGAAAGUAUUUUUUGGCCAGGGAUGAGCUCGCGGUCUAUCAGCUUGNGGUGGGGU